CUUUCACACUGAAAUGAAGUGCAUGACUCAGGUCACACUCCUGCAUCCUUAUGUGACAUAUGAUCUGAGUUGUCCUGAAAAAAUAGAUGUUAUGGACUGUGAUUGUUUUUCAAAAGGAAAAAGUAAAGGUGUGAAACAAAAAUCAGUUUCCAGCAGCUGUUGGUGGUAAAGUGUCCAGUGCCCACCACAGCCAGAGAGAAAGCUGCUGAAUAUUUAGAAUUUCCCUCGGGAUUAAUAAAGCGUCUGUCCGUCGAGUCGUCGGAUCCUCUUGAUCCUCAUCAGGGUCAUGGGGGGCUGGAGUCUAUCCCAGCUGACUGCGGGUGAAGGCAGGGGACACCUGGACAGGGGGAGGUGGUGCACUGGCUGGCCUGUUGGCUGGAUGCAGCCUGCAGGAAGGGCUCCACUCCC
Molecule: long non-coding RNA, 408 nt
Organism: Amphiprion ocellaris (clown anemonefish)
Lineage: Eukaryota; Metazoa; Chordata; Actinopteri; Pomacentridae
Source: Ensembl